This 103-nucleotide ribosomal RNA is filed under the name Pseudomonas aeruginosa. RNAcentral describes it as "partial 16S ribosomal RNA". It matches the Rfam family "Bacterial small subunit ribosomal RNA", at positions 1 to 103 of the family's 1533-position model. Lineage: Bacteria; Pseudomonadati; Pseudomonadota; Gammaproteobacteria; Pseudomonadales; Pseudomonadaceae. The record is from RNAcentral. RNAcentral also lists the same sequence under 3 other names.
AAAUUGAAGAGUUUGAUCAUGGCUCAGAUUGAACGCUGGCGGCAGGCCUAACACAUGCAAGUCGAACGGUAACAGGAAACAGCUUGCUGUUUCGCUGACGAGU